Molecule: long non-coding RNA, 152 nt
Organism: Amblyraja radiata (thorny skate)
Lineage: Eukaryota; Metazoa; Chordata; Chondrichthyes; Rajiformes; Rajidae
Exons: 3
Source: RefSeq, a predicted model, not a curated record
AUAAAUGGAUUCUUUAUUCAGCCAUUGUAGAAUCACAGAUGCCCCAUAGCAGAUAUGUCCACGUCGCGGGGCUGGAAACUGGGAAGUAUCCUGAGCUAAUUCUGCUACCACCAUCAUCUAUUGUGACAAGUGACGGGUCCCACUGAUUGUCG